AAAACUUUCAACAACGGAUCUCUUGGUUCUCGCAUCGAUGAAGAACGCAGCGAAAUGCGAUAAGUAAUGUGAAUUGCAGAUUUUCGUGAAUCAUUGAAUCUUUGAACGCACAUUGCGCCCUCUGGUAUUCCAGAGGGCAUGCCUGUUUGAGCGUCAUUU
RNAcentral lists this ribosomal RNA (159 nucleotides) under Ogataea pini. Its description in RNAcentral is "5.8S ribosomal RNA". It matches the Rfam family "5.8S ribosomal RNA". From Rfam's summary of the family: 5.8S ribosomal RNA (5.8S rRNA) is a component of the large subunit of the eukaryotic ribosome. It is transcribed by RNA polymerase I as part of the 45S precursor that also contains 18S and 28S rRNA. Lineage: Eukaryota; Fungi; Ascomycota; Pichiomycetes; Pichiales; Pichiaceae. RNAcentral also lists the same sequence under 5 other names. The record is from RNAcentral.